Molecule: ribosomal RNA, 429 nt
Filed under: uncultured Allobrachymonas sp.
Lineage: Bacteria; Pseudomonadati; Pseudomonadota; Betaproteobacteria; Burkholderiales; Comamonadaceae
Description: bacterial SSU rRNA
Rfam family: Bacterial small subunit ribosomal RNA
Source: RNAcentral
AAUUCGAUGCAACGCGAAAACCUUACCCACCUUUGACAUGGCAGGAAUCCUGAAGAGAUUUGGGAGUGCUCGAAAGAGAACCUGCACACAGGUGCUGCAUGGCUGUCGUCAGCUCGUGUCGUGAGAUGUUGGGUUAAGUCCCGCAACGAGCGCAACCCUUGCCAUUAGUUGCUACGAAAGGGCACUCUAAUGGGACUGCCGGUGACAAACCGGAGGAAGGUGGGGAUGACGUCAAGUCCUCAUGGCCCUUAUAGGUGGGGCUACACACGUCAUACAAUGGCCGGUACAGAGGGUAGCCAACCCGCGAGGGGGAGCCAAUCCCACAAAGCCGGUCGUAGUCCGGAUCGCAGUCUGCAACUCGACUGCGUGAAGUCGGAAUCGCUAGUAAUCGCGGAUCAGCAUGUCGCGGUGAAUACGUUCCCGGGUCUU